GCACCCUUGGUGUAUGGAAACACACUUCUUCGAUGUGGCCAGACGUCCAAAUGGUCAAGAUGAGUCCGGGGUUCAAAUCUCCGAGGGUGCA
Non-coding RNA from Mycena albidolilacea, 91 nucleotides. The record is from the annotation of a GenBank genome assembly. Lineage: Eukaryota; Fungi; Basidiomycota; Agaricomycetes; Agaricales; Mycenaceae.